CGAAAACUAAACACCGAAUUUUAAACAACAAAUACGAAUUGAAGUCAAAAUGGAAUUCAGCAAUACAGAUACAAUAAUUGGAUUUUUAUGGCGGCUUCUAAGAACAGUCUGGAGAUUCCUGUGCUGCUGUGGACAUGAUAACUCUGACGUUCAGUUCUCAGUUGAAGAAACAGCGCCAUCUCUUGGUGUCAGCACUGUACGACCAUGGAAUUAUGGUGGAGGUAUUAUCAGGACAGUUUAGAACACUUGAAUCAAGAUUAAGAAACAACUUUAAAUUUAGCACUUAUAAGAUGGAGGAUUGGCCCCCUUGAAAUCAUUGUUGCCCCAGCCACAUCUGUUGCAAAUUCCUGAGAGGAGCCGAUGUCGAGGUGGGACAGAGUUACUGGCGCUCUCGCCCCAUGAAGCGAAGAAUUAUGAAGUAUGAAGAAGGAGCUCUGGAACUACGUUGGGUUUGGUUUGGUCCAUGCAAAGCAGCAUUAGAGCAUAAUCUUGUCUAUUUGAUGGUAAUAGGGAGCCGUGCCACGUGUUGUCACUAAGAUUUAAUUUGACCAACAGUGUUGAGAUUUCUGAUGUCAAAUUAAUUCAAUCUCUCAUUAAUUCCUGCUUCAUCGUGAGCAAGAAUAUCAGAGCUCAGCACACAAUUUUAUACCAAAGUUCAACGAGAAUAUUUAAGGCCAGUUAGUAAGUAUAUUUCUUCUCUUUCAAAGAAAAUAGUCCCAAAAGAAGCCAAAGCAUCAAGCUAUCAAAUUAUGCACAGACUGGAUGUAAAUAAAUACAUUAUUGGAGUAUUGUCUUACUUCAUCAAAGCAUAAUAUCUUACUUUUUG
This 826-nucleotide long non-coding RNA is filed under the name Sinocyclocheilus anshuiensis. RNAcentral describes it as "lncRNA (ENSSANG00000045216.1)". The record is from RNAcentral. Lineage: Eukaryota; Metazoa; Chordata; Actinopteri; Cypriniformes; Cyprinidae.